AUGACGCCCAAGACUUUCAGUUUUCAGGGCGAUAGACGCCAGCCUCAGAUGAUCCAUCUGACAGAAGCAGGAGAGAGUCCGAACAUCCAGAAAAGAUAUAGUCUGAUCGGUGCACGUGCAGCACGUGCCGCUGUGGGGCGUCGCCAUCGGCGAGCUCGCCCGAUUCACCAGCUCCUUUUACCUUCCAAAAUCAAGGUAAACCGUGCAAUCAGUGGCGCCGAUUUCACUUUCUUCCUCGGGCAUUAUCCUCCGACGAGAAUUCCCAAUCUCCUCGACAACGGCCAGAACAUCUUCAACUCCAACUUCUCCCAGCCCGGCUACGACGCCAGGGACUUCAGUUUCCAGGGCGACGCAUACUAUGACUCCCAGUCUCAGAUGAUCCAACUGACAAGAAACGGUACGGGUCCAAGCAUCCAGAACAGCGUAGGCCGAGCGUUCCUCGCCACGCCCAUGCCGUUGUGGGAUAACGUCACCGGCGAGCUUGCCCGCUUCACCACCUCCUUCACCUUCCAAAUAAAGGUAAUCAGUGCAAACACUGGCGAUGGCUUGACAUUCUUCCUCGGGCAUUAUCCUCCGACGAGCAAACUUGAAGGCGUCGGCGGGAGCCUUGGCCUCUUCAACAAUGGCGUCGCGACUGGCGUCGUGGCGAUUGAGUUUGACACGUACUUCAACGCUGGGGUCGACAACAGCGGUAGUCACAUGGGCAUCGACGUCAACUCCAUCGUUUCCCGGGAGUACACCAACGUGGCCGUGCCAGGCAGGAACCUAACGUCCGGCCUCCCAAUGACUUGCCACAUCAGCUACGUCAACACAAGUCUUGACCUGAGGCAGUUCUUGCCUAGUGAGGUGGCCAUCGGCUUCUCGGGUGCCACCGGUGUGGCUGUCGACCUACACCAAAUAAUGUCCUGGUCAUUCAACUCCACCUUGGAACCGCCACCUGCACGGAAGAACUCCAAGUUUCCGUGGAAACUACUAGUACAAGCAACUGGACCGGUUAUCGUUUUUUUGGCGAUUGUGUUCAUCUUUGUUGGCGUCCGACGACGGCAGCUACGCACGAGAAAGAAGCAUCACAGAGCUCUCGCCAGAGGCCUUGAACAUUUUGAUUACCAUAAGCUGGCGGGUGCAACCAACAAAUUCUCACAGGAGAACAAGCUCGGGCAAGGAGGUUCCGCCUCUGUUUAUCAGCGCCAACUGACAAAUAGACAUGUGGCGAUAAAGAUAUUCACGCCAGUAGCAUCCGGCGAAGGGAGGAAGGCGUUCGAGGACGAACACAGAAUUGCGAGUGGCCUGAGGCACAAGCACCUAGUCCAAUUGAUAGGCUGGUGCUACGAUCGCAAGAGGAACCAGGUUGAGUUCAUAUGCUGGUGGUUGGACGACAGGUACACACGUCUCUUUCUUGUGUAUGAGCUUUUGCCACAAGGUAGCCUCGAUCAACACCUACACAGGGGCAAAAGUUGGUUACCAUGGUCCAAGAGGUACGAGAUUAUCCUCGACCUAGGCUCUGCACUGCAAUACCUCUACGUAGACUGUGAGCAAGGCCAACAAUGUAUCGUACACGGCGAUAUCAAGUCGAGCAACGUGCUGCUUGGGUCUUCAUACGGUGCCAAGUUGGGUGACUUCGGAUUGGCAAGGUUUGUUCUCCACGAAACUGGGUCACAGACCACAGAUGUUCUGCAAGGCACUUUUGGAUAUAUAGACCCUGUGUUCCUCAACACGAGCCAACGGAAUAGGCAGUCAGACAUAUACAAUUUCGGGAUUGUCCUACUAGAGAUGGUCUCUGGAAGGGAUCCAACAAUGUGUCUCCAUGAUAGGCCUCCAUUGUCAUCAUGGGUAAGGAGUUUGUACCAUAGGAAUUACAUCCUGGACGCCGCAGAUGAGAGGCUGAUAAGCGGCGAGUCCAAUGUCGCGUGUCAACAGAUGGAGCACACAUUACUCAUUGGGCUCUUGUGCGUGCACCCGGAUCCGAGCAUACGACCGUCCAUCACCCAUACCAUGGAAGCCCUGCGAUCGGAGGAGCUGACAUUGGACAUUGCUCCCCUAGCGCCGGUGGCACUCUCGCUUGCAUAG
RNAcentral lists this ribosomal RNA (2067 nucleotides) under Triticum aestivum (bread wheat). RNAcentral's name for it is "partial small subunit ribosomal RNA". The record is from RNAcentral. Lineage: Eukaryota; Viridiplantae; Streptophyta; Magnoliopsida; Poales; Poaceae.